UACGAAGGGGGCUAGCGUUGUUCGGAAUUACUGGGCGUAAAGGGCGCGUAGGUGGCGGAGCAAGUCAACGGUGAAAGCUCGACGCUCAACGUCGAGUCGGCCGUCGAGACUGCUUUGCUCGAGCACUGUAGAGGCAGAUGGAAUUCCUGGUGUAGCGGUGGAAUGCGCAGAUAUCAGGAGGAACACCAAUAGCGAAGGCAGCUCGCUGGGACGUUACUGACACUGGAGGCGCGAAAGCGUGGGGAGCGAACAGG
This 254-nucleotide ribosomal RNA is filed under the name uncultured bacterium. RNAcentral describes it as "partial 16S ribosomal RNA". It matches the Rfam family "Bacterial small subunit ribosomal RNA", at positions 524 to 776 of the family's 1533-position model. The record is from RNAcentral.